GCGAGGAAGGGCUCUUAACGCAGAAGGGCCUGAUUGUGACCCUCCCAAAGGAUACUAUUCGGGCCAGCCUGCAAACUCUUCUUGGUAGAAAUGGCUACUAACGAUUACUCUUCCAGAAGCCCGUGGUUCUCAGUGAUGGCCCUUAGGCCAACGCCUGCACCUUACAGGGAGCCUAUGUGGAGUUCACCACCCACCUUAGGUCUCAAAGUCAGCCUGCGAGCUCAACAAAGACCCCCGUGCCGGCCGCACUCAGCUUGAAGCAGUGUGGGGCUCCUCCCUGCCACGGCUUUGACUUUGCCGGGUGAGCAGGAGGGCUGUGGGGACAAAGGAGUUGCGAGUGUCCGCGGCCAGCUCGUGGGAGACUCCCUGGGCAGUCCUGGAACCCGAGAGAGGCCGGCAGAGCGGAAGGGAAGCGCAUGGGGAACGCAGCCCUCCUGCCCUGAGCUAUGGGGUCGUCCCAGCCUGUGCGACAGGACCACCGCUCCCAGCCCGGGGCCGCUUCCAGCUGUUCUUUCUCAUCUGCUGGCCUCAGUUUACCCAAAACCGCAUUGGCUCAAGGCUUGAACCCGGUACCCGUACCCAGCGGGGUCUCCCAGAACUACAAGGCAGCCCGGCCCAGGAAGCUGCUCCUUAAAAGACCGAAGCCUUUCUGUUAUGUUAGGAAUCCGGAAUGGGAGGAAAAACUGCACCAGCCACUGACCGCCCUCCUGGAAGGGCCCUCAUUUCAGAGAAAUCGAAACUUAGGAAAACAGCUCCACCCAUCUGCUGAGGUCACUUUGUUCCUCUGAGCCCCACUCAGCGCGUAUUUAUCGCCCUGGGUGCUCCUAGCCGGGACCCGGGACUCAUGACCAGUCUAACUGAUCUCCAGGCCACACACUUCCGGUUGCAGAAGACAAGAGGACUCCGCACCCAGGCUUUCUGUCCUGCUCUCUUCUCCCUCCUCUGCAAGAAUGCUCAGGCUGAAUUUUCUCCGUGUUGAUUUUGCAAGGAGGAAAAGGAUGGAAAAGAACGAAUGUCAGUCUUAACCCCAUAUCUGCAGGCUGGACCCCAGGAGAUGGGAGAAUACACAGAGGUGUUGCUGCAGAAUCUGUAUCCAACCGGAUGGGAAAAGCUCUGCACCAAGGAGUUGGAAGGCAAUUUUAUUGACACCGGCAGGCUGAUGGGAGCUUGGUCCAAACCAUCAGUCCUGCCUCAGGGUGAACUAGCAACUUAUUUUGUACAUUUCCUAAGCAGAAAGUACAGAGUCCCUACGGGUUAGUUUAUAAUUGGCUACAUAUAUGUAACCAUACGUUGUCAGGCAGAUGUGCUGGGCAGGUUUAAUUGGAAGAGGUCGUUUAUCAUGAGGCAGGAAGAUCUGGGGGAAGUCAGGGUCCAGGCAAGCAGGGAAGAUCUGGUGUGACCUUGACAGAGCUGGCCUGCCCUGGGCAGAUAGUCCCUGAAACAGGCUCUGGAAACGGGACAUGUGGGGGCUAACUGCAGCUGGCGGAUAGAGGGAGUCCGAUUAUCUCUUGAGUUGCAGCUGUGUAGUCAAGGCCGGCUGAGUCUGAUGGCCCAAUUAUGAAGCUGUAGUUUUAAAAUUUUCUGUGACAUUUUAUUUCCCAUUACAGUGUGAGGGAACAACUGACAACUGCUCAGUGAGACAGAGAGAGAAGGCAAAAUGAUUUCCGUUUUUCUUUUAUCCCAAGUCUAACUUUUACUUCAGUUUCCCUCCAGGCCUCCGAAGCAGUCUCCUCUGCUCUGUGUUAUCGGAGGCUUCUUGGCUGUGACAGACAUCUCAGGGCCGGGCGGCUUCUUGUCGCAUCUGAAACGUUUGGCCGGGGAACUCCCACAGCCACAGAAGGUUCCGGAUGAAACUGAUGCUGCCAGUCCACCAACCACUCUCGGAGAAGCCGGUUCCCAAAGGAUUUCCAACAUUUACCUCGUCCUAAGAGCUCUGGUCUGCAAAGCAAGGGGCCUCUGAAAGGCAGGUACUGCCUAGACUGGUAAUCUCUGUAAUCGGCUCAAGCUUUUGUUCUGCUCCACCUUCCGCAAUCACCUUGAAAAUUACCACGAAGGUCACGCAAGGGAGCCACAGACGGGCGACUCCAGCUAAUUCCUGCAGGAACAGAACGAGGCUCCUGUCCCUCCACACUGCGCAUCGACUUCCACCCCAUCGGCUUGUUGAAAUGACCUUUGUAUUACUGACCCCUCAGUUUCUGAAUUUCCAUCCAUGACUGAAACCAAAAGAGCAAUUUAUUCCUGUGCAAUUUUUUUGUUUUUUAAAAUAUUUCUUGGGCCGGGGAUGUAGCUCCACGGCAUCGUGCCUGCCUGGCAAGCAUGAGGUUGUGAGUUCGAUUCCCUGUACCAAAAAAAGAAAAAAAAAUCAGCACGUCACCUCCCAACUCCACUUCUGCGGCUCUGCCGUUUCUCCUCCACUCUUCUCCGAUGCGCUGCCCGCCGCCACCUCCACUGCAUUUCAAGCGGACGUCUGGGCUCCGCGUCUCCGAACGCCUGUUAAGCAGUCACCUGUCCUCCAGUGAGGCGUAUGCCCCUCGCGGGGUCUCCCAUCUCUGCCCACAGCAACUCCGGCUUUCUCCUUGCGCAACCCCAAGUCCUGGCUGAGCUCCUGACCCCUUGGUCACACUCACUUGCUGUCCUCCUCCAGAUGGACCGGGAUCCAGGCACGCUCGCCACGCCCCUGCUCGCAGCCCAAGGAGGGGAGAUGCACCCCAGCCGGAAGGCCGGAUGGUUCCCUGCAGUCAUCCCAGCCGCUGCGUGGGUCUUUCCAUCUUGUUUGAGAUACAAAUAUUUUUUGAUUGGUUUGUAUUUCGCUAACCACUCUAAUAACCCCUUACUCUCAGGACUGGCUUGGUCAACUAGGGGACAGAGACACACAGGCUGUGAAAGACUCACACCAGGGAAAAGGUUCUGGGGUAGGAGAUAAUUGCUAACCAAGUUUUCCUCAAUUACAGUCCUGCGAGCCAAAAGGCUAAAAAUAACUACAAGAAGGGAAAGCAGGGAAGUAACAGGUGCAGGCCCAGAUACAUAGCUUGGGACAACCUGAGCUCUAGAUCGCUGGCCACGGGGGUGGGGGCUCCUGCAAGUGAGGGGUGGACGCACGUGUCUUCGACUGUGGGCGCCUGGCUCACUCGGGCGCCGCUCCUGCAAGAGCAUGGAUUAAAGCCUCCUUCUCGCUGC
Molecule: long non-coding RNA, 3177 nt
Organism: Chinchilla lanigera (long-tailed chinchilla)
Lineage: Eukaryota; Metazoa; Chordata; Mammalia; Rodentia; Chinchillidae
Exons: 4
Source: RefSeq, a predicted model, not a curated record